UGCGAGCUUCCCACAACAGUGGUCCAUGUGGGAGGGAUGUCCGGGCUGUGAGCUUCUCCCAGCAGUGCCCCCAAGGGGGCAGGUGUGUGGGUCUGGGCUGUGAGCUUCUCCCAGCAGUGCCCCCAAGGGGCCAGGGUGUGUGGGUCUGGGCUGUGAGCUUCUCCCAGCAGUGCCCCCAAGGGGCCAGGGUGUGUGGGUCUGGGCUGUGAGCUUCUCCCAGCAGUGCCGCCAGGGGGGCAGGGUAUGUGGGUCCGGGCUGUGAGCUUCUCCCAGCAGUGCCCCCAAGGGGGCAGGGUGUCUGGGUCCGGGCUGUGAGCUUCUCCCAGCAGUGCCUCCAAGGGGGCAGGGUGUGUGGGUCCGGGCUGUGAGCUUCUCCCAGCAUGCCCCCAAGGGGGCAGGGUGUGUGGGUCUGGGCUGUGAGCUUCUCCCAGCAGUGCCGCGAGUGGGGGAAGGGGGUCCAGGCUGCGAGAGCUUUCCCCCAGUGGGCAGGUUAUGUGGGUCCCAGCUGCAAGCU
Molecule: long non-coding RNA, 514 nt
Organism: Gopherus flavomarginatus (Mexican gopher tortoise)
Lineage: Eukaryota; Metazoa; Chordata; Testudines; Testudinidae
Exons: 3
Source: RefSeq, a predicted model, not a curated record